Molecule: ribosomal RNA, 322 nt
Filed under: uncultured eukaryote
Lineage: Eukaryota
Description: partial 18S ribosomal RNA
Rfam family: Eukaryotic small subunit ribosomal RNA
Source: RNAcentral
CCCUUAGAUGUUCUGGGCCGCACGCGUGCUACACUGAGUGGAUCAGCGGGUCAGGUUGCGCGAAAGUGUUUCCUAAUCUUUAAAUCCGCUCGUGAUGGGGAUUGACGGUUGCAAUUUUCCGUCAUGAACAAGGAAUACCUUGUAAGCGCGGGUCAUCAUCCCGCGCUGAAUACGUCCCUGCCCUUUGUACACACCGCCCGUCGCUCCUACCGAUUGAGUGGUCCGGUGAGGCUUUGGGAUCUGGGCGGAAAGAGCGUUUCGCUGUUUCUGCCCGGAAAACUCAGUCGAACCUUAUCAUUUAGAGGAAGGAGAAGUCGUAACA